AAGUCGUAACAAGGUUUCCGUAGGUGAACCUGCGGAAGGAUCAUUAACACAAUUUACUGUGAUAAAUCCGUUGAAUUCUCGAAUUCGAUGGGUAUCCACCCCAUUAUUGACGAACUUUUCUAGAGGUUUCAAAAACAUAGAGCUUAGUCUUUAAGUUUUUAAAACAUUCUAAAACCUUUUUCUUUACCAUAUAACAUUUUUAACCCCUUUUACAACAUGUCUUAGACUGAAAUAAUAAUUUUCUAUCAAAAAAUUGAUAAAAACAACUUUUAACAACGGAUAUCUUGGCUCUC
This 293-nucleotide unclassified non-coding RNA is filed under the name fungal sp. Its description in RNAcentral is "partial internal transcribed spacer region". The stretch from base 1 to 46 matches the Rfam family "Eukaryotic small subunit ribosomal RNA", at positions 1786 to 1831 of the family's 1831-position model. The record is from RNAcentral. Lineage: Eukaryota; Fungi.